GACUGAAAUCUGCUCCACUGCAAUUUGCACCUGUUGUGUCUUUUCCUGUCCUCUCAAGCAACAAGUUUCUUCCAUCAUCAGUUAUUUGAAGACAGUUAUCAUGCUUCCCCUUCAUCUUCUAUUCUCCAAAUGAAACAUGCCCAACUCUUUCAACC
This is a non-coding RNA of Podarcis lilfordi (Lilford's wall lizard), 155 nucleotides long. The record is from the annotation of a GenBank genome assembly. NCBI's taxonomy places the organism in Eukaryota, Metazoa, Chordata, Lepidosauria, Squamata, Lacertidae.